Molecule: unclassified non-coding RNA, 411 nt
Filed under: Sannantha papillosa
Lineage: Eukaryota; Viridiplantae; Streptophyta; Magnoliopsida; Myrtales; Myrtaceae
Description: partial external transcribed spacer
Source: RNAcentral
UCGUGCUGGUGCACCGAACUGCUUCCCCCACUUUCAAUCAAUCAAUUGCUCCACGAGCUAACGUCGGAUGCAAAACAAAGGGGUUCCUGUGCUGCAUACCUAACGAGAUGGAAAUUCGUCCCUUCGGUUGUCCCUUCCAUCCGUGCAUCCUCCUCGGGUGCUCGGUUGGACUAGAUAGAGGCGCUCGUUCUCCACGGGCAUCGCACGCGAUCGUCCCGAUGGAGCUCGAGCGCACUCUUGUCCUCUCGGAUGCGGAAAAUUCCUCACGGGCGUGGGGUCAUCGGCCCUUGGUCCCGAACGUUGAAGCGUCCAUCGCUUCACGCCGGAAUGACGCUCUCGCCUUGCGCUUGAUCACGUGGAGCUCUCGGGCUACCGCAAGGAUCAUGCUCGGCGGACGUCGUGAAGGAAUGC